This 239-nucleotide ribosomal RNA is filed under the name uncultured bacterium. RNAcentral's name for it is "partial 16S ribosomal RNA". It matches the Rfam family "Bacterial small subunit ribosomal RNA", at positions 57 to 305 of the family's 1533-position model. The record is from RNAcentral.
GCAAGUCGAGCGAGAAAAUUCCUUCGGGUGCGAGUAGAGUGGCGGACGGGUGAGUAACGCGUGGGAAUCUGCCCUGCAGUGGGGGACAACCCGAGGAAACUCGGGCUAAUACCGCAUACGUCCUACGGGAGAAAGGGGGCUUCGGCUCUCGCUGCAGGAUGAGCCCGCGUCCGAUUAGCUUGUUGGUGGGGUAACGGCCCACCAAGGCGACGAUCGGUAGCUGGUCUGAGAGGAUGAUC